Molecule: ribosomal RNA, 252 nt
Filed under: uncultured bacterium
Lineage: Bacteria
Description: partial 16S ribosomal RNA
Rfam family: Bacterial small subunit ribosomal RNA
Source: RNAcentral
UACGUAGGUCCCGAGCGUUGUCCGGAUUUAUUGGGCGUAAAGCGAGCGCAGGUAGUUUAUUAAGUCUGGUGUAAAAGGCAGUGGCUCAACCAUUGUAUGCAUUGGAAACUGGUAGACUUGAGUGCAGGAGAGGAGAGUGGAAUUCCAUGUGUAGCGGUGAGAUGCGUAGAUAUAUGGAGGAACACCGGUGGCGAAAGCGGCUCUCUGGCCUGUAACUGACACUGAGGCUCGAAAGCGUGGGUAGCAAACAGG